RNAcentral lists this ribosomal RNA (507 nucleotides) under uncultured bolidophyte. RNAcentral's name for it is "bacterial SSU rRNA". It matches the Rfam family "Eukaryotic small subunit ribosomal RNA", at positions 451 to 963 of the family's 1831-position model. Lineage: Eukaryota; Bolidophyceae. The record is from RNAcentral.
CUGACACAGGGAGGUAGUGACAAGAAAUAACAAUACAGGGCAUCCAUGUCUUGUAAUUGGAAUGAGUAGAAUUUAAAACCCUUUACGAGUAUCGAUUGGAGGGCAAGUCUGGUGCCAGCAGCCGCGGUAAUUCCAGCUCCAAUAGCGUAUAUUAAAGUUGUUGCAGUUAAAAAGCUCGUAGUUGGAUUUCUGGUGGGGGUGUUUGGCCGGCUCAAUGAGUUUUGCGCCUAUACGUCUCCGCCAUCCUUGGGGAAAACUUGCUUGGCAUUAGGUUGUCGAGUUUGGGAUCCCCAUCGUUUACUGUGAAAAAUUAGAGUGUUCAAAGCAGGCUUAUGCCGUUGAAUACAUUAGCAUGGAAUAAUAAGAUAGGACCUUGGUACUAUUUUGUUGGUUUGCGUACCUAGGUAAUGAUUUAAUAGGGACAGUUGGGGGUAUUCGUAUUCAAUUGUCAGAGGUGAAAUUCUUGGAUUUAUGGAAGACGAACUACUGCGAAAGCAUUUACCAAGG